This 468-nucleotide ribosomal RNA is filed under the name uncultured bacterium. Its description in RNAcentral is "partial 16S ribosomal RNA". It matches the Rfam family "Bacterial small subunit ribosomal RNA", at positions 28 to 507 of the family's 1533-position model. The record is from RNAcentral.
GACGAACGCUGGCGGCGUGCUUAACACAUGCAAGUCGAACGGAAAGGCCCUGCUUGUGUGGGGUGCUCGAGUGGCGAACGGGUGAGUAACACGUGAGUAACCUGCCCUUGACUUUGGGAUAACUUCAGGAAACUGGGGCUAAUACCGGAUAGGAGCUCCUGCUGCAUGGUGGGGGUUGGAAAGUUUCGGCGGUUGGGGAUGGACUCGCGGCUUAUCAGCUUGUUGGUGGGGUAGUGGCUUACCAAGGCUUUGACGGGUAGCCGGCCUGAGAGGGUGACCGGCCACAUUGGGCCUGCGAUACGGCCCAGAGUCCUACGGGAGGCAGCAGUGGGGAAUCUUGCACAAUGGGCGGAAGCCUGAUGCAGCAACGCCGCGUGCGGGAUGACGGCCUUCGGGUUGUAAACCGCUUUCGCCUGUGACGAAGCGUGAGUGACGGUAAUGGGUAAAGAAGCACCGGCUAACUACGUG